AACGAACGCUGGCGGCAGGCCUAACACAUGCAAGUCGAGCGGACCUUUCGGGGUCAGCGGCGGACGGGUGAGUAACGCGUGGGAAUAUGCCCUUCUCUACGGAAUAGUCCUGGGAAACUGGGGGUAAUACCUUAUACGCCCUUUGGGGGCAAGAUUUAUCGGGGAAGGAUUAGCCCGCGUUGGAUUAGGUAGUUGGUGGGGUAUUGGCCUACCAAGCCGACGAUCCAUAGCUGGUUUGAGAGGAUGAUCAGCCACACUGGGACUGAGACACGGCCCAGACUCCUACGGGAGGCAGCAGUGGGGAAUCUUAGACAAUGGGGGCAACCCUGAUCUAGCCAUGCCGCGUGAGUGAUGAAGGCCUUAGGGUUGUAAAGCUCUUUCAGCUGGGAAGAUAAUGACGGUACCAGCAGAAGAAGCCCCGGCUAACUCCGUG
This 433-nucleotide ribosomal RNA is filed under the name uncultured bacterium. Its description in RNAcentral is "partial 16S ribosomal RNA". It matches the Rfam family "Bacterial small subunit ribosomal RNA", at positions 29 to 507 of the family's 1533-position model. The record is from RNAcentral.